AUGAGUGAUGCUCGUCCCACCCUGACGGUGCUGCCUCCCUCCAGGGAGGAGCUGCAGCAGGAAAAGGUCACGCUCACGUGUCUGGCCAACAAGGGCUUCCCCUCAGACUGGACUCUGUCCUGGAAGCUGGACGGCAGCGGCAGCAUCAGCAGCUCUGACCAGAGCAGGAGCCCUGGGGUUCUGGAGAAGGACGGACUCUACAGCUGGAGCAGCACCAUGAGGAUCCCUGCAGACCAGUGGACCAAGGUGAACUCUGUGACCUGUGAGGCCUCCCAGGGCUCCCAGUCUCCAGUCAGAGAGACUCUGAGCACAGACCAGUGCUCCCAGUUCUGAACUGUGUUUCAUUUGUCCUCUGGUUCUGGUUCUGCUUUUGCUCUCAAUCCUUGUUCAGCACCAACCUUUGUCUUUUCAAAAAUAAACGGUUAAAAGUUGAUCUUUUCCUGCUCACAAAGACUCUGCUGUGGUUCUAACAUAAUAAAGUACUCCUUCAAACUGAAACCUAUCACAUGAUUGAUCAUUUUAUUUUUAUAAUCCCACAAAAAUAUGAGAAAUGUAGCAGAAUAAAAACAAUGAUUCCUACAAUGUUAAUAACAAGACGUGAGUAGAAUGGAAACAGGUCAACCAUCAACCAUGUCACCAAGGAUCCAAGUGAAGCUGGAUGAAAGAUUAGGUUCUUCCAGGAAGCAACGCUGCCUAGUUUUAUGAAACAAACUGCGUUUCUCUGUUGUUGUUUCCCUGCGUGCUUGUACA
Betta splendens (Siamese fighting fish) is the source of this 750-nucleotide non-coding RNA. NCBI's taxonomy places the organism in Eukaryota, Metazoa, Chordata, Actinopteri, Anabantiformes, Osphronemidae. The record is from the annotation of a RefSeq genome assembly.